This 593-nucleotide unclassified non-coding RNA is filed under the name Hevea brasiliensis (rubber tree). Lineage: Eukaryota; Viridiplantae; Streptophyta; Magnoliopsida; Malpighiales; Euphorbiaceae. The record is from RNAcentral.
CAACAGAUUACCCAUUACAUCCUAAUGUACAAACAAAACCCUAAUAGCACAAAGCUGCCAAUUCCAUUCUCAGAGUGAAAGUUUACAGGACCUACAAAAUCUUUCAAUCUUUCCCAAAAUUUCCUCAAAUUCCUUCAAAUGGUUGUUCAAGCCAAAGAUUGGUUCAAGGAAAGCAUGAAACAAAGAAAAAUGAGAUUGAAAAAAUACCAAACUAGCAUUGAAAUGGACCAAGAAGAUUGGUUACGUUUGGGACGGCAUUCGAGUUUUCAAACCAAUGGCUAGCUUGGUCAACAACAAGGUGUAAUGCUGGUAGGGACCCAAACGGUGGUGUUGAAAUGCCAAUCGACCGAUCGACAACAACGUGAUGAUGGCGAACCCAAGAAAUGCAAAGGAGAUAAUGGCACGCCAAAGGGAGAAAUAAGUUUCGAUGGUUGUUUAGGGGAAGAGAAAGAUGAGUAUGAGAUGUUGAGAGAAAUUUGAGAGGGAGAAGAUAAAUUGCAGUAGACAAAUGGGUGGUAAAACAGUGAGAGAAAAUGGGUUGAUAAAAGAAGAAGACUAUUUAAAUUAUGUAGUUAAUGGCAUGGAGAACAUAA